AGGGAGUGUGGCAGGGACAGCGUGCUGCAGUCCUUGACUGCUGUAUCUGGCGCUGGCAUUGGAAAUUUGGGCGGUCCUGGUAAAGUUGAGUGUCAACAUUUGCUGCGACAUGAGGAUGGUGCUGAGAUCGUGAGGGGAAGGACCGAGUGGAGGCCCAAACAUGCCAACAAUUUUGGCAUGAUGGGUGGUCAGAUGCCAGCUGAUGAGAGUGGUGCUUAAACAUUGAGAAAGCGUCGUGGCUGGAAUGGCGUUAGUCUCCUUGCCACGUGUCACUUUACUUGUGUAGAAUCAUACCUGUUUGAGUCUCAGAUACACCUUAUUUUUAAGGUGUAUGUAUUUAUAUAUAUAUAUAUAUAUAUAAUAUAUAUAUUUUUUUCAAUUUCUUGGAUAAAUGAAAGCUGUAAGCUCAUUGGAUAAAUGAACUGCUGACAUGUUCUCUCAUUUAGAAACUUGAGUUCGUCUUCUUCUUUUUUUUUUUUUUUGGGUUAAGAAAUAAUAUUUUUUAAGUGACUGUAGAUGAAUUGAAUGCUAUAUUUAAGAGUAGAUAGUUCUUUUUAGCUGCCAACAACCUGUCUAACUUGACAGCCCUUAAAUGCAGUCAACAUGUCAACCUUCUCCUUGUGGCCCGAAUGCUCUGUGGGGCGGCACGUGUACGACGGCCUUUAUGUUUUUAGUUGUCUCCAAGUUUGGUUGGCAGUAGGAAUUGACAGAAAAGGUUAAAUAAUUUAUUGGAGUGGGGGAGGCAGCCUUCAAUGGAUUUUGCCUGCUAACUAAUUAAUUAAUUUUUGAUGUGCUCAGUUCCUCCAUUAUGUGCGCCUCCCUUGUGACUUUGACAAUGCAAGAAAAUGUGAAUGCACUGUUAUUUUCAUGAUGUUGCCGUGGAACAAUAUGAUGCAACUCAACGUUAUUGUUGUGAGAAAUUACACUCAAGCUUAAUAUAAUAUCUCGACCUUCAUUUAAAAAAAUAAAAAAGAGUAAAAAUUUGCAGGAGAUAUUUGAAAGCAUGCAAUUAUGGCAGCACGGAAGUGAAGCUCCUGCUGGGCUUAAGCUUCGAGAUACAUUGUUUGUUUUGUUGAGUUUUUUUAAAAUUUUAUAUACGAAAUAAAAUAAUAAAAUAAAAUUAUUUAGAAGUUUCUUAAAUUUUAUUAGAAAGAUUCAAAAUUGUUUAGAGGAUUUAUUACUUGAAGAUCUAUUUUUCUUUAACUUUGAAUAAUUUUUUAAAAGCUAAGUUGUCGUAAAUAACAAGCCGUUCAAUUGUCCGGCCUUCAACGGUAAUCUAUAUGAACCACCAUUGAGAAAUCUUUUAAAACUCUAUUUAAGAGAGAUGAAUUGCUAUGCUUAGAGUGCUAGCUUUCUAUUCUGUGACUCACGUAGUUUUUGUCUAAUAGACAACCACUCUAAAAAAAUAGAAGGAAUAACUUACUAUUUAUAGAUAAAUUUAAAAAAUCCUAUAAAUUAACAAAAUAUCAAUUUGCCCCUUAAAUAAUAUCUAGGAUAAUUUUAGAAAUUUAAUCAAUUAAGUCCCUACUUGAUUAUUCUAGGAACUAUAACUAUAAUCCCUAAAUUAAAUAUAUUGUAGUGCUUAACUUCUAAAAUUAUUUUCAAUCAAGUCACUUGAUUAAUUAUCCCAGUUUAAUUUUUAACUAGUAAUUCUUAAUAUGUGUGUGUGAUUCAAUAAGUUCCUAAUAUGUCUUGGCAUCCCUUCUAUGAUCAGGCAUGCAUAUGGCCUGCAACUAGCAUUGACAACAUUUUUUUUCCCUAUCUUUUCUCUCUUUUUCUUAAUUUUAAUGCAUAUCUUUUAGAAAUUUCAAACCAUCCUUUCAAUUUGUUAUUCCUUCAGAUUUUAUUUAUGUUCUUUUUAUUAUUAUUUAUUUUAUUUGGAAUAAUUAAUGAAAUUGAAAUUCUUUUUCAACUUUACCCCCUUUAAUUUUUUUUUAUUUCAAAUUUGAUCUCAUUCUUUUUAUUAUUAUUUGUUUUAUUUGAGAUGAUUCUUUAAAUUGAUUUUUUAUAUAUAUUUUCAUCCCCUUUAAGUUUUUUUUCUCUAUCAAAUUUAAUCUACAUUCUUUUAAUUGCUAAUUUGUUUUUUACUUUUUUAAAUUGAUUUUUUUCUGAUUUCAUCCAUCAAUAUUAAAUUAAUUAAGAAUUGAUAUUCUUGAUUGAUAUGCAAUUUAAGAUUUCACGAGUUGUGAGUUUUAGAGAUUAACCUGGGUUUAGGAGGUUCACCUGGUUUGGUUUAUUUUUUUUUUCAUACUUUAGCAUUUAUUUAAUCAAAUAUUGAGCUCCGUUCUUUUUAUUUAUUUUCUUUCUAUAUAAUUCUUCACUAAUUUUGAAAAUAACCCGGGUUAUCUCGGUUAUUUUUAUUUGUUGUUAUUUGUUGAUUUACUUUGGUAAAGUUUUUAAAUUUGUAGUUUUUUUUCUUUCAAUUUCAUCAUUCAAUAUUAGAUUGAUUGUAAAAUAUUAUUUUUUUCCAGCUCCAUCCUUUAAGGUUGGAGUUUUUUUAUAUUGGGCUUUGUGAUUUUGUUCAAUUUCCUUUCUAUUCGUUUAUAUUAGUCUCAUCACUUAGAUUGUGGGUUUGACGGAUUAGUCUGAGUUGGCUCGAGGCUUUUUUAGAAUUGUUUUUUCUAAUAUAGUAUUUGUUACGUUUCGUCAUUCAAUAUUGAGUUAUUUUGGAAUUAAGUUUUGUAACCUUUUUUGGUUUGCCUUCCUAAUCAUCUGGCCUUGGAGGUAUUCUAAAAAACAAUAUGGAUCGACACGCGCAGGCUCUUUUUAAAUGGGACAUGCAUGCUGGCCUAACUAGCUAGGCCUAGUAGUGCCUAGCUAACAAGGUCUAGCAACACCUAACCUUAUUUUUUUAAAAAAAAAAUUUAUAUAUAAAAAUGAAUCUUAUUUUCAAAAAUAAAAAUAUAUUUUUAUGAAUAAUAUUUCUAAUAAGUGCAACCAUGCAUAAUAUUUUUUUUCCUUUGAUUUUAUUCAAUCGAUUGCACAUGUAUGUCUGUUUCUACUAUCAUUUGAUUAAAUAAAAAAAUAAUUUUAAUAAAAAAAAAUCAUUGAACACAAUCACAUAAAUAUCCCGUGUUGCGAGAUCAAAUAUCUUAAUUUAAAUCUGUCUCUUAAUUUUCAGUUAUGUAUGCAGUUAUUAUUAAUAACUUUUUUUUAUUUAUUAACAUAAAUAAUUCUUAAUUUAUUUAACUAAAUAGUAUAAACUUUUUAAUUUGCAUAUAAUUUUUUUUUAGCCUGCUAUGUGUUCUAGAAACGUGUUUAGAUUUAAAGCGUCUAGUAUUUGAGUCAAAGGUCAUGGAGUGAACUUUGGUUCAUGAGCAUAGUCGGAGGGGGUCAGGACUCUGUCCAAGUCCUCUAGGAUGGUCACGAACAGAGGAGUGGACUCUGUUUCUUGUCCGGGAGCUAGGAGGCCUCUUUUCUGUUUGGGUAUCAAUUGUAUAAGGGCCAAUGUGAGGCACCAUUGUUCUCCACGUAAAUUUUGGGUAUAUCUGAUGGAGUUAUAUCAAUCAACCAGCAAUUGAAUGUACGGCUACAAACUUACCAAUUGUACAUUGUAUAUAUGCCAAUGAUUUUAUGAAACUGUUUGAUUUUAUUUUUUAAAAUAUUUUUUAUUUAAAAAUAUAUUUAAAUAAUAUUUUUUUAAUUUUUAAAAUUUAUUUUUUGUAUUAGUACAUCAAAACAAUAUGAAAAUAAAAAAAUUUAUUUUUUUAAAAUGCUUUUAAAAUACAAAAAUAAAUAUAUUUAUUGUUAAAGAAAAUCCAUGUAAGUAUUUGUGUCAUGUGCAGGAACCAUAACGGUUCCGUUGAGUGUGUUUGUAUUUGAGGCAACGUUUGUGUUUUCUUUAAAUGCAAUGUAUUUGGUGUUUGGUUACGAGUAUCAAAGAUAUAUACAAAUAAUAGGCCCCACCACUUGCCUGAGAUGGCACCUCAGUUAUGAAAAAGCUAUUUUUUCUUGCUUUUGCAUGUUGGACCACAUGUUGAACUUUCUGGAUCUGCAAAAAAAAUUGAAAAAUUAUCAAAGCAUCCUCUUCUCUUCCUCCUCUCAUUCAUUUCAAUUCACAUUCAUUUAUUAUUCAAUUUACCCUAACCGCAACAAUUCAAACAGUACAAUCACCAUUACUAUUGCACAACCCACAGGAAUGACCAUUGCAACGUNNNNNNNNNNNNNNNNNNNNNNNNNNNNNNNNNNNNNNNNNNNNNNNNNNNNNNNNNNNNNNNNNNNNNNNNNNNNNNNNNNNNNNNNNNNNNNNNNNNNAAAUCCUGCUUCAUUUAGACACCAAAGCUGCAAUUUCUAAUUGGUUAGUUUGAUUAAUUGACUGGUCCGAUCGUAUGCAAACCUAGAUAUGUUUAUUCAUUUUUAUAAAUUACUGGUUUUUUUUCCCUUAUAUGAGAUUAUUACUUAUUGUUUUCAAAUCUCUAUCUUAUGCCUGCAUGUAACUUGAGUUAUUGAUGUUUUGACUAAUGAGAUGUUAAAACUAAUUAGGGCCAAAGGAAUAGUACUCGUUAUACUGUAAACGAAUAAGAGUUUUCAAGCCACCAGAAACUAUACCUUGUAGUCUUUUACUGAUGAAUGCUAACAAAUCCAAUUUUUUUUUUAAAAAAAAAUAAGUUAGAAGACAUGUCUAAUAUUGCCCAGUUUUCGGCCAUUGUGGUGGCCAAAAAAACAGGGUAAAAGUUUUUUCGAUCCAAAAACUAAAUCUUCAACCUAUUGUUUUUUUAUGUAAAACACAUAGAAAACAUUCAAGGCAACUUGAUAAACCCAUUUAUGGCCUAACAAACCCAAAAAAUCACCCAAAAAAUCGAAAAAAAAAAAAUCUUACCAAGCUUAUAUAUGUGUUUUUUAGGCAAUUUCAAGGUAAAAAAAAAAAAAACAUCUAAUAUGAACUUUCCUCGUCAAAUGGAACAAUUUGACACUAAUUUCAACCAUUGUUGUUGCCGGAAUCAAUGCCGACAAAUAUUUUCUCUUUAGUGCUGAAUUCCGGUGACUUCCUCUUACCUCUCUCAACUAGGGCCCAAAAAAUAAGGAAAAUAUUUUUUUAUGGACCAAAAUUGAUUUUGCCUUUAAAUGUUAGAAACUGAAAGGAUCCAAUAUUUAUAAUUUGUAAAGUAUAGGGACUACAAUAAACACUUCGCCCAAACUUUUUAAAGCUACUCAUUCCAUUUGUGUUUUUUGUACUUUGGUCCCAUGUCUUUCAAUCUCACACUUCCCCAACAAAUUAACUUAUAAUUAAACCCAAUAAUGGCCAAAUUUAAAAAAAAACAAAAAGCAAAAAAAUGACAUUGUGAAUAGCCCGUUGAUAGCACCAUGUGAGGAGAUCCACAAUGCAUUUUACAUAAUGAAUUCCCCAUAAGUCUUAGAUUUAUAAUUAAUAUGGUGGCAUGAAGCUCUAAUAUAAGUCUUAGAUCUAUAUAGAAAAAUCUUGUAGAAUGAAGCUCUAAUUGCUAAAUUGAGUUUAAAACCACGCAAGUAUUUUAUAUAAACUCUUGAUAACUAGUGGAUCUAUUUAAUAAAUGGAUAGGUGUAGAUUAUAAAAAUUAAAAAUUUGCAUUAUUUGGAAUUAAAUUUUUAAAAAAGAAGAAGCUAAAUGCCAUAAGAUUGUGGCCUAAGGCUCAUUAUAUUGUGGGUUGAAAAGGUGCAAUUACAUUUUUGCUCUCCAAAUUAAAAACCAAAUGAAUUGCCUUUGAUGGAAAAAUGAUAUUUUUUACAGGAUCUAUUUGUUAUUAUAAAAUUGAUCGAGAUUAUAAUGGUAUCUCCACUUUUUUUUAGCACAAUAAAAUAACAUAAUUGCCCUCACAAGAAAAAAAAUAAACAAUUUGCAAGGGGCUUUUAAGCCAUUUCCUUUAUAUAUAAAAAAAAUGACCUGAGUGACUUUCCAUAUGUAUUUUAUUUUUUGAUAUAAUCAAGUUGGUUAGGGGCAAUUUAGUACUUUAAUAAAUAUAGUGUAUUAUUUAAAAAAAUAGUGCACGUUGCACACGUGUCAGUAUAUGAGCAACAUGUGACCUGUUGUCCGAUCACCGAACUCUGCCUUCCAUGAUAAUGUUCAAUUCGCCAUGGUGUUCCCCCAUACCUGGGCGACAUGUGUUGCCGGAGCGGCUUUGGUUACUCUUUAUUUUCCUUCUUCUCUCUCUCCUACUCGAUUUUCAUGUCUGACCUUUCAGAUUUUUAAAUUAGCCCUUUGAUUUAUUUUUUUCUUUGCAUUUGACCUCUGUUCUUUUAAUUAUUAUUUAUUUUAUUUGAAAUGAUUUAUGAAUUGGAAAUCUUUUUCAAUUUUAUCUCCAAUUUUCUCAAUGGUCAAAUUUUGUUUCAAUUUAUUUUAUUACAAUUUUUUUUCAUUUAGGAUUAUUUUUAAAAUUGAUUUUUUUUUUGUGAUUUCAUCCUCCUUUAUUUGUUUUCAUUCUAGAUUUGAUCCUUAUUCUUUUAAUAGUUUUUUUUAUUGGAAUUUUUUUAUAUUGAUAUUUGUUUCCCGAUUUCAUACGUCAACAUUAAAUUUAUUGAGAAUCUAGCUUCUUAAUUGAUUUUGGGUCUAGAUUUCAGGUUGCGAGUUUGAAAGAAUAAUCUAGAUUUAGGAGAUUCACUCAGAUUUGCUUGUUUUGAUCCCUAUUUUUUUAAGUUCAUAUUUUUUGGUAUCAUCCUUUAACAUUUAUUCGAUUGGAGAUUGAGUUUUAUUAUUAUUUUUAUUUGUAUUUUAUAGGAUUAUUCACUAAUUAUGAGAAUGACUAGGUUAUCUCAUGUCUUUUUAUUUGUCUUUUUUUAAAUUUAUUUUUUAAAAUAAAUUUUAUUUUUGAAUUAAAAUAAAGUAAUUGAUUAAAUAUCUUAUGGGAUGCUCGUUUCACAAUAGUUUGUUUAUGAGAUGCUUUGUAAUAAUGUUAGAACCAUCUCAUUGAAUUUUUUCUGGUGGUGAGACGGUGUUGACGACAAAACAUGAUGAGUAUUCAAUGAGCUCUUUUUUUAUCUCCUCUUGAAUAUAAUAUUGACAUCUUAUUUUUAAUAGUUAAUCACCCCCUUGCUUUAUUUACUAUCAAUAUUUUUGUUAAAUUUAUUGUGAUUAUUAAACUCAAUUAAGUUAAUAAUUUUAACCUCAAAUCUUUCUUACUUCUUUAAAAAUAGCAUUACAUAAUAUUUUUUUAUAUUAAAAAAAUAACCUAGCCAACAAUGGAACUCAUUCUAUCUAUCUAAUCUCUACUAUAAAAGUUAAUGGUUGACUAACAACCCGAAGACUCGAGAUCUUAGAUAAGUUAGGUCACAUAUGUGCUCGACAACUGUGUUGAAAACGAUGCUCAACUUCUGUUAAAUAAUAAUAAUAAAAUUAAAUCGGGUUUGGAAAAGAUACAAAUCCCGCGAGAUGGAAUUGAAGGUGGGCUUGGUUUGGAAGAAUCUCCGAUUCCCCUCACCAAAACAUCGCAGAUGCUAUGAAAAUUUGAUCUUUGUUUGAUAAAGAAGUCAUUUGAUUAAAACAAGUGGAAUCACAUUCCCUUGGCUAAGGAAAGUAAAAUACUUAUUUUCUUGAAUAAAAUAGCCUUAUUAUUAGAGUCUGUUUAUUUUGUGUAAAAUAUUUUAUAGAAAAAUAAUUUUUAAAUUUUUUCAUGUUUGUUUUUUUUUAAUAUUUUCUAAAAAAUAUUUUUUUAUAUUUGUUUGCUGUAAUUAUUUUACAGUAAAAUUAAUUAAUAUAAAAUAUUUUAUAAUCAAUUUUCAAACUUGAUUUAUUUGAUGAAAAAUAUUUUCAACUCAUAAAAUUCUAUAAAAUAUUUUAUGAAUAAUAAUCCACUUGUUUAUAAUAUCAUCCAACUAUUUUGAUCACCAUUUUCAUCUCACCACCAUGACCAUCUUUUUCACUAUCAUCGCCACCUCACCACCACCACUUUCUUUACUAUCACCUUCAUGUCACCACCAUCACUUCCUUCACCACCGCCAUCUCCUCCACCAUGUCACCACCACUACAACCAUGUCACCAUCAUCCUCUUCAUCAUCACAACCACCUCCUUUACCACCAUCAUCUCUUCUUUUAUGACCAUCAUUAUCUCCACUAUAUUAUUAUCACCAUCAUCUUAUUACCAUCUCUUCCUCCACAAUAAUUAUUGAAAAAUAUUUAUAUAUAAAAUUAUUUUAUAAGUCAAACAUUAAAAAGUAUUUUUAUUGGUUUUACGUGGAACAAACGGUAAUAUUAAAUGGAUUAACAAUCUUUGUUUUUUAAUAAUAACAAAACUUUAUAGUCUUAGUACCGACUAGCAAAUAUGCUCAAUGCCUUUAUUUGUUUAGUAUUUUAGAUAAUUUAUAAUAAAAAUGAGUCGAAUAAAAUGUAUUUUUGGAUAGUAGUGAUUUUAAUAUUAAAAAAGCACUGGAAAGCACAUUAUAUUGAUAAAUAUGAAAUAGUGAAGGCAAAUGCAUUUGUAUUUAAUAACUUAUCCAAGUAUUGCAUCAACUAUUAAUAAAAUAUUGAUAAAACAUUAAAAUGAUUUCCCUUUUGCCACUCAUAUAUGCCAAAAAUUCCAUUAAGUCUAAAAAAAAGAACUAAACGAGCUUCGUUUUAGGUUUUUUUUUUAAAAAAACUAUCUUAAGAUUUUAAAAUAAAAUCAUAACGUAAUUUUAAUGGUGCGUGUAAUUUGUAAACUAAAAAAUAUAUCAGAACUAAUUUCAAAAAUUUAUAUAUAUAUAUAUAUAAUUAAUUAACUAAUUAAUUUUUAAUAUUUUUUUUAAAAUUAUUAAUAAUUAGGAAUAAAUUAAAUUGAAAACAAACCUAAAAAUGAAAAAUAUCAAUCCAAAGAAAAUAUCUAAAAGGCACAUUAUAUUGAUAAGUAUUAAAUACUUAUAGAGAAAACAAAACUUAUACCCAGUAAAUUACUCAAGUAAUAUUUUUUAAUUUAAAUAUAAUAUUAUUUUAAUAAGAGCAUGAUAUAAAAACUUAAUUUAUCAAUAAAACCUAUUCAAACCUAUUUCUUAAUUUAUCACUGCUGAAUGGAUUUAGAGUUUUAUUUUAUGAUCAAAGUAUAGGUUUAAUAGUGAACUCUAAAUAUUAUUUGAAAGGGUUUACAUAAUUAAAAGGAAAAAUUUUAAAUAAUAAAAAGAUUGAUGAAAAAUGUAAUAUAAAACUUUAAAUCAAGCGAUGGAGAGAACGAUUAAGGAUCAAUAUUUUUAUAUAUUGUAAUAAAUUUGAAAAAUUGUAUAUGAUUAUUUACAUAUCAUUAAUGAAAUAUGGAAUUGUAAAAUCCCCAAUAAUGUACCAAUGUUUUUUGGACAUAAACUUAAUUUCAAGGAUAAUAAAUGACAUUUUUUUUUUAUCAUCUCAUAAUGUAUAUUAAAUUUUUAUUGAAAUUUCAACAGAUUUUGUUUUGUAUUUUAAACAUUCCAAGUAUCAAAUCCAAUUUAAUCACACAUAAAUGGUCAAAAUUAUAUAUACAUAUAUGCAAUGAUCUAAACAUUUUAGACUUUUCUAUAUCAUCCAUACAUACAUCUAGAAAUUUAUUCGUCCAACUUUCUAUAUUUUUAAUUCAUUUCAUUCUCCAGUAUCAAUUCAAAUAUGUUCUUAUUUAUUUUACUAUACAAUUAUAACAUACAAGAUCAAUAUUAUAUAAUUAUAUUAUUUCAUAGACAAGUCUCUUUUAAUAUAAGGUUUCAAAAUGUAUGUAUUUAUGCUAAUAAUACCUCAUCAUCCUAAUUAAUUACUACAUACCCUAGACAUCAAAUAAAAAAAUAAUUAAACUAAGUUAAUUUUAUAAGUCUUCUCAUUAUAUCAUUACUAAACAAAACUAUCUACAACAAAAAACAUGCAUAAAAGAUUUAAGUGCACCAAGACAUUAAUCCUGACGGUCUAAGAUGAACAUGAAAUUGUACAAAGUAUAUAAUUUUCAGCACAUAGUUUAUUUAUUUAUUUAUUUAUUUAUUUAUUAUUAUUAUUAUUAUUAUUAUUAAUUUCUUUUUAAAAGGAACAAUCAUUCCUAAAUAAAAUUAUCAGGUAUCCAUUCAAUGAUCAAUUUAAAUCCAAUAUCUCAUUGCCAAAACAUUAAUAAUUCUUUCCAAAAACUCAAUUUCUUAGUAUAACGAUCCUAACCAUGUAUUUAUCAAUCAUAAUGUUUUGACUAAAAUUCUACAAGUUAGGUGUUUCCCUCACAACCAAUAAAUUCUAGUAUCCUUGCAUGGAUAGCAUUUUUAUUUUGAAAACCAAUCAAUUCUAUUUCUAUUUUUGAAUAUCUCAUAAAUUCUAGUAUACUCGCAUAAAUAUUUUUAAAUCUGACAUUCUCCUUUUUAAAAGCCAAAUAAAUUCGAUAUUCCUUUUUAAAUACCAUAGAAAUAUUAGUAUCCUCUUAUAGAUACUUUUAAAUCUAGCAUUUUUUUUUUCAAAAGCCAAAUCAAUCUAGUAUUCCCUUCCAAAUACCAUAUAACUAUUAAUAUCCUCUCAUAGAUACUUGUUAAAUCUGACAUUUCUAAUCUUGAAAGCCAAUUCAAUCCAGUAUUCCCUACCAAAUACCAUAGAAAUAUCAGUAUCCUUCUAUGGAUACUUAUUAAAUCCGACAUUCCCAAUUUUGAAAGCCAAUUCAAUUCGAUAUUCUUUUCUGAAUAAUACAGAAAUUCUAAUAUUUUCAUAUGGGUAUUCAUUAAAUUCAGCAUUCCCACUUUUUUUAAAAGCCUGAACAUUCCAGUAUUCUUUUUCGAAUACCAAUUAUCAUUUUUGUUCUUUCACUCUUAGAUUUUGUCCAUUUUGGAAAGAUUUUGUGCAAUGGAUUCUUUUAUAAAGGGGAUGAUGAUUUUUUUUAAAAAAAAAACCACUAUAAAUACCCAUAAUUUUUAUGCAUUUUAAUAACAAAAGUGUUCAACAAAGAGUGAAAAAAAGUUAUGAAAACACAUGUAUAUCAUACACAUCCCUCUUGAGAGAUUUAUUGAUUAUAUUCUUGCAUUUUAUGCUAUUGUUCUUUAAACUUUGUCUAAUUCUCUCUCGGAGUGAGCAUAAUCAAUUGGGUUACAAAAUUAAACAAUGUGGAUGUAUGAGUGGCAUCGUAUCAAUACUAAAUAAUAGAUGAUGUCAGUAGCAUUGGAUCAUCACUCAAUUUAGCUCUUGAUCCUACAUUAUAAGCUAUUGUAAAAGGCUUAAUCCUUAGCUAUAUAAGUACAAACAUAUAGUAGAUUGGGAAGGCUUAAAGUGUGCUCGGGGAUUGGAUGCAGGUAAUGCCAAACUACGAUAAUCUUUAUGUUUGAUCUCUCAAUACCUAAAUGCUUUAUUUUAUUAAGUGUGCUUAUAUGCAACAAAAAAUUUUCUUUUUUCAUUAUUUAACAUAUAAUACUAAAUAAGAUUGUUUAUAGUCCAAUACAAAUCAACAAUAAUGAUUGAUAAGUGAUUUUUGCUAAGGACAUAAUCACACACAAUAAUCACACAUAAAUAAAUAAAAAACUUGGUAGUAAGAGUGUAGAAGGUUCCUACCCCAACACCAUCUUUAUCCACUCAAAAGGUUGCACUAGACCUUGAGCUACAAAGGAGACAAAUUUUUGAAAAAUUAUCUAUAAAGGUAGAGAAGACUACUGCAAAGAUAGUUAACAUUUUUAUGAAAAACAACCAUCUAGAUGUUGAAUAAAUAAAAAAUAGUUCUAAUGCCAAUGUAAGAUUAGGGAUGGACCAACAAAAGCGACAUGAAAAAGUUAUCCAUCAUGCAAGGCCUACAAAUAUGGAGCUCAAGCAAAGGAAAUGAGUUGUAGAAACCUAACCUAAAUCUUUAUCAGUCUUGAAAUAGGAAAAAAAAAGAUGGCAUCAUUUGGAUAAUAGAAGUAAAAAGAGAAUGCAACUCCAAUAAUAACCCUGAUAAGAGAAGAACUAUUAUGUAUUGUAGAGAAAAUAAUAGUGGCAAAGCUUAAGAACAAUAAUAGUGUCCAAACUUUAAACCAAUAUGCAAAAUAGUUUUAAUAGAUGCUUUUGUCCAAUUUGAGGAAUAAAUAAAGGAAAAGAAUGACAUGAUUAUCGAUGUUAAUGAUUAAAAAGAUGAUGAUUUAUUAGAAUGAGUCAUUGAUGUCGUUCUAGAUGAUAGUACAUAAAAGGAAAAAAGAAAAAGGUACUUGAAUUUUCAAUCUGAAUCUAACAAUUUGAUGAAUAAAACACAAUCAAGGAAAAUGAUAGAUUAAAAUUUCUUUCUAACAUAAAAAUAAGUGACUAUGAUGAAAUCAUAUCUAUAAUUAUGAUAUUUGCUCUUCCUUACUCUUUUGAAUAUAAACUUGGCCAACUACCUUAUCUGGACCGCGACUGUGAAGAUAGUGCAAAGGAAAAGUCAAAGAUAAUUGAAAUCAACCAAAAGUCAGGUCUUAUAUUUUCUAAGCCAACAUUGGCUAUGAGUUGCUAUUUGAGAUCUUUAUACAUCAUAAAAAAUUUCAAUAAUGACUAAUACAAAUGAUCCUGGUUGAUAAUGAUACAACACUUAAUAUUAUUUCGCAAACCUUAUUAAGUAAGAUUGGUUGAAACAAAGUUGACACAAUCCUAUUUGAAGUGGCAAUGUCAUAUUUUGAAGAUGGCAUAAGAGACAUUGUAGAAGUGUGGUAGGUGAGUUUAAUAAUUGAGUUCAAGAUCUCUAAUGUAGCUUCUUUUUCUUUUUUUCUUUUUUAUAGUUCAAGCAAAGAUAAGUCACAACGCCUUAUUUGGGUAAGAUUGAAUACACGCUUAUAUAUGUGUGUCAUCAUCCCUAUAUCAAAAUAUAUUUUUUUGGUUACUAGAUGGUUCAAUGAAGAUAGUUAAAGUAGAUGAUAAGCCACUUAUGAUCAAUUUAGGGAUUGCAGAUACAUGGUUAUAUAACAAUGAUGGAAGCGUAGUUCAAUUUAUGAGCAUGGACAAUAUGAGACACCUAAUCUAGUUUUUAAUAAGUAAAAAGAUAGUACAUAUAAGGUGACUAAUAAUAGACAUUGCUAGGCAAAAUAACUUGCAAUUGAAAGAUAAUAAUAAAAAAAAGAUUUGAAACAAUGGAAUAAAUGAGUAACCAUAACUUGGUAGCAUGUUUUGAGGAUUUUGAUGAAGCUUAUAAAAGUAUUGGAAAUAAGAAUAGAAUUUGUUCAAUGGAACUAGAUCAAGAAAAUCAAUUUAUCAUGCUAGAUAUGACAAGUCUUCCUCCAUCACCAUUAAAUAUGGAUGAUGGACAAGCUCAAGUUUAAGAUCCUUCAAUUGAAGUUAAUUUGAGGACUGAAGACAAGUCAACACUCAUGGUUAUAAGUGCAAAUUUAUCAAAAGAUUUUCAGAAAUGUAUGGUAUCACUGGGAUACACAUUAUAAAGACUAUUUUCUUGGGAUUUUGAUGAAAUACCUAGUUUAAAUAGAAGUUUGAUCAAUCAUCCAUUCAUAAUCAAGCUUGUUUUCAAUCCAUACAAAUAACCUCCACAAAGAAUAAUUCUAAACAUGAUAGAUCAUAUAAAAGAUAAAAUCAAAUGACUACUAGAAAUUGAAUUUAUUAGGCUAAUAAUAUAUGUUGAAUGGAUAUCUAACAUAAUGUCAAGAUUGAAAAAGAAUGGCAAAUUAUGAGUUCAGAUAGAUUUUGUUAAUCUUAAUAUAUGGAUCCUAAAAAUGAAUAUCCAAUUUCAAUGGUUGAUAUGUAGAUCGAUCCAACAUUUGACAAUGAAAUGAUCAGCUUUAUAGAUUGUCAUUCUGGCUAUAACUAGAUCUUUAUUAUAAAAGAAGAUAUAUUUAAAAUUGCUUUCAAUGUCGUAGUUCAAUAGGAAUAUUUGAAUGAGUGGUAAUAAUAUUUGGUUUAAAGAAUGUUAGUGCUACUUGCCAAAAGACAAUAAUCAAUCACAACAUGAAGGUUUAUAUUGGUGAUAUCAAUGUAAAAUAAAAGUUUAAAUCCACUCACCUAAAUGAGCUAUGACAACCUUUGAACAAAUAAGGAUGUAAAAUCCAUAAAUGAACCCAUUAAUAUGUGCAUUUGAAGUGUAAGCUGGUAAUAUUUUAGGCUUCUGAGUGCAUUAACAUGGCAUAAAGAUGGAUAAAAAACAUUAGAAAUCAUGGAAGAAAGAACUUCUCUGAAUAAGAAAGAAUUUUAGAGGCUUAUUGGUAAGGUCAAUUUACUAAGAAAAUUCAUUUCAAACACUACAAGGAAGAUCAACCCUUUUACUGAGUUGUUGGAAGGAAAAAGAUUUAAUGAGUUUUAAUGGAAUUAAAACCAAUAAACUGCUUUUAAAAAUAUAAAAGCUUAUCUCACCAAAUCAUCUUUAUUAUUGACCUUACCAAAACUUGGAAACCCUUGAAGCUAUACAUUUCAGUAGCAGUAGUGUCAAUUGACAGCAUGACAACAUAAAAAAGUAGCUUUAGGCAUGAACAAGUUAUGUAUUAUCCUAGUCAUAUCUUUAUAGAAGUUGAAGAAUGUUACACACUUAUAGAAAAACUAUUUGCCCUUGUAUUUCACCUAUAUUAAGCUAUGCUGGUAUAUGUUACCAAUUGAUGUUUAUGUAAUAUGUAAAACAAAUUUGAUAAAAUAUAUGUUGUCAUAACCUUUUUUAAGAGGUCAUAUUGGUAAAUGGACAUUAGCACUAUCUAAAUUUAAUCUACAUUACAUUCCAUGAAAAGUAGCUAGAGGCUAAGAUUUGGUUGAUUUCCUAGUUGAUCAUAUGUAAAUAAACAUUGACCAUGAGAAAGAAUAAAACAACAAUACUAUCAUUAUAGAACCUAUUUCAUGGCAAUUAUGGUUAUGUGGGUUGAAAACAAAGAACAAUGUCGUGUAGGGUGGUGAUAAUAUCCUCAAUAGAUCAUAAAGUGACCCAUCUUUUUGGCUUAAUUUUUCUUGCACUGACAAUUAAGAUGCAUAUAAGUUCUUAAUCAUAGGUCUCUAAAUACAACUAGAGUUAAAAGAAAAAUUAGUUAUAGUAACAAGAUAUUCAUUACUUAUUAUCAACAAUUUAGUUAGUGAAUAUAAAUGUGAACAGAUUACCUUAACUUUAAAACCUUAACUUUAAAUCAUAUAGUGGCCACAAACCUUGUUUAAAGGUUUUCUAAUCUUGUUUUUAUUUUUUUAGUGAGAGAAAAUAAUAAAGAAACCAAUGGCUUGACUUAACACAUGUUGGAAUAUAGAGUGGCCUUAUAUCAUCAUGGGAUCAUCCCUAUAAGAACUAUUGAUUGAUCAACUAUUGUUGAUAUCCAACAUGGAUGUAAAAGGUCACAUAGUUAUUAUGAAUGAUGACAAGCCUCACACAUAUAAUUUCAAUAAAAAAUUAUUUAUUCAUCCCUCUAGAGGGUUUUUAUUGCUUUUCUUUACAAAUUUCUCUCAUUCUUCAUAAACAUGUCAUUUUCCUUGUGUGGUGUUGUUAUAGAGUUGAUAGCCUUUACUUAAGGUUCAAGGUUUUAGAUCCCCACACUCUGCUUGUUUUUGUGAGGUUGUUACUUGUCUUUUCUUAGGAUUAUGUUCCUAUUGUGUAGUAUUUUUUUUAAUCCUUAUAUGGAAAAACGUUAAUUGGUAGUCUAUUAUUCAAAAUAAUAUCAAAGUGAUUUACAUAUUGGUAUGCUCUAUAAGACAAAGAUUCAACUAUUUCAUAAGAUAAUAGCUAUGCCUCUAAAGUAAAACACAGGUAAAGUCGUCGCUGAUAUAUUAGAUGAAUAAUUAGUAUAAGCAAAGGAGAAAUGUUCACUUUUUUAUAAUGAAAAGCCUGACAAUCCAUAUUCUUCUCAUAUGUUGGUGGAUCAAUUAGUAUCACACAUGCUCAAAGAUGAGUCUUCAUUGUCUAAUUCACCCCUACAACAUAGAACUACAUCUAAACAUACUCUUAGUGUCCCCUAGCAGUCUCUCAUAUUUUUAUUGAUUCUAAUAGGGUCAUCACCACCAACAACAAAUAGACAUGUUAAUGUAUAAGUUCUUUACACACAACCAUAUACAUAUCAUAUAUACGGAUUUGAUGACAUCAUAUGAUGGUCAUAACUAGCUAUGGAAAACUCCAUCCAACCAGCCAUGAUUGCACUUUAAGUAACAUCUUAUUAUUAGUUUAUAAAUCUCUCUAGUGCUAAUUAAAGGGUUAUUUAGAUGGAGAUGAAAACAUAAAAGAUAUGACCUACCACAACAACAUCGUGGUGGUCAAUGGAACCAUGUAUAUUAUAUUUGAUUAGUUAGCUUAGAUAAAAAUGAGAUGCAUUAGAAUGGGUCUUGUAACCCAUGAGCAUAUACACUUAGAAGGCAUAUCUUUAGGAGUUCUAUGACCACAAACACUCUAAUAGGGGUGAUUGGAAUGAAUAUACCUUAUAUAAAAAGGUACCUUCUAGUGUAACAGACAUAACAAUAAAUAUAUUCCAACUUGAGUGUGAUAGCCACUAAUAACCACAAGUCUACAAAAAACCACAAGUCAAUUACUUGGCCUCAUAAAACUUAUAUUUCUUCCAACAAGCUUCUACUAGGUAACUCUAUGCCAUAUAGGAUGUGUUACAAUUAGAAAAUCACAAUCCCUUUACACAAUAACCACCUAUUAUUGAUAAAAAAAAAAGAGAGGAAGAGAUAGAUAAAGUAUAACUAACAUAACAUUUAAGAGAGAGAAUGGUAGAAAUUGGAUAAAUAAAAAGUUCUACUGACCAUCAUCCAUAACAUAACUGGAUUGAUAGGUUGCAUGCAAUCUCUAGAGGAAUAAAUAUUGUAAAUUUCAAGCAAUUAUCUAUGAAAUAUAAUAAAUCAAUAGGAGAACACAUCACCAAGUUCGCUAACCAAUACGACAAUGAUGCAUCAAACCUUCUUUAUACAUUUGAGUUUUUUUUUUCAUUAUUAACCAGAACAACUUUUCUUUGGUUAUCCACAUUUCCACUCAACUCAAUUAACAUUUAGGAAACGAUGGAAAUUUCUUUCCAUGAACAUUUAUAGGAUAGAUCUGGAGGUCAUGUUACAUGAUUUAGCCAAAAUAUUCUAGGAUCUAAGAAAGGGUACAUAAAUUAUGCCCUGUGAUUUAGGACAUGUAUUAUGGCUAUAACUAAGUGAGAGUUCAUAAAGUUACUAUUAAAAAAAACUAUAGUGGAACAUAAGGAAAAUAUUCAUAAACACCAAGUACUUAUAUAUCCAAACUCUCAUAAAUGAUGUUACUCAUUUUGAGAAAAUGGUAGCAAAAAUGGUAUAAAAAAAGCCAUUGAGGUGGACAUACCCUAUUAACUAUUUAGACAAUGUUAUGAGUGCACACCUAUUUAUUGAUUCAGACUCUUAUAGGAAUUUGAGGAUGUCCAAUAAUAGUUCAUAUUGAUUAUAGAAGUAAAAGAUGGUAGUUUGAGAUUAUAUCAUUAAGAAAGCCUAAAAAAACUACUAACCCUGAUAUCAAAGAUGCAAAGGCUACCAAAGUAGUCGAAAAAAUAAAAAAGUUUUCUUUUAACAUAAAAAAGCUAAAGAAAACUUUAACUAGUUGAUACAUAAAAGGGGGGGGGAUUUAAACUUCUUCGAAAUCACACUAUCCUUAUUGACAACAAAAUUCAAGAGAAGAAGUUCUUUAAGUGGCAUGACUUUUAAAAACAUGACAUUCAUAAUUGUGUAGUCUUUUAGAACCAAAUUCAGAAGACUCUAGAAUCUAUGUGCAUUUGUUUUUUGGACAUGAAAAUGAAAAUGGAUGAUAAUAUGUUCUCUAAAUUUACUAUAGUUAUAGCUACUCCCAAGCUUGAUAAACUUCCUAGAAAGAAAGAGUAGUAAAAGGUAAAGACUAAUCAACAAUGAUAAAAGGUGAAGUUAGUCAUGGAUGCUAGUAUUGGAAAAAAAAUUUAAACCAUAAAAAAUCCAACAAGGUUGGGUUCAACAAGCUCAUGAUAUGCCUUAUAAUGAAGUGUAUAAGUUUCAUACAUUUGGCAUGUUUCUUCCAAAAGGUGAAGACUUGGGGGGCAUAGUUGAGCAAGUAGUAACUCAACUAAAUACCAAAUCAUUUAAGUUUAAAAGACUAGCUAAAAAUGAUUGAAAUAAGCACUAGUCAUAGUAGAAAUCAUCCAAACUCGAUGAUGAAAUUGUUAACAAUCACCAACAUCUCUUAUAUUUAGAAAUGAGAUUGAAAAAUUGACAUUGUCCAAAUGUUAUAUUUUUAUUCCAUAAUGUUUAUUUUUAUCCACAUGAUGAGAACACAAAAUGUCAUAUUUUUAUUCCAUAAUGUUUAGUCUUUUAUACUUAUUUGGAGCCUUAAUUUACUCAUUAUUUUUAUAUUUCAAUUUAGGAUGAAAGUGGAGGUGUUAAGGGCAAAACAAAGCUAAUUGGGCAAUUAUGAACAAUUUCAACACAACUUUGUAAUCUAGGCAUAACUCUCAUCUGAACUCUGAUUGAAAUUAUUCAUACUUCUAUUGAACCCUAAGAAACAACUCUACAACUUUCAUGUUUUGAUUUUUUAGAGAUACUAACUGUUUUGAGGUUAAAAUGAGGUAUAAUAUUGUUGCACUUGUACUGCCAUCGUGCAAGAACAUCCUUUGUCAUGCAAAUCUAUUACGAAGUCAUUUAUUUUCAGAAACUUCCAAAUUUGGUGUGUGAAUUCUAGUUGAAGACAUUACUUUCCUUGUUAUAUUAGGACUUUAUUUUAUUAUUUAAUAAUUUCAUUAACUAUUUAGAUUUGAUGGUUAUCAUUGGGGAAUAAUAUUGAGAGUAUUUUUAGGAGAUUGUAUAUGCUUCUAAAGAGAGAAAAGGGUGUAAAAACAAAAGGGAGAGAUAAGAUCAGACUUCUCAUUUCCCUCUUCCUUCUUCUUUAUUUUGUUUUUCUUCUUCGAGUAUUCAUCAUGGUACUAUAUAACUAAAUUUUUAUUUGUUAAAAGGAAACGAAAGCCUCAGAAUCAAUAAAACUGUGAGAUCUAAUUUGUUUUCAUUGUUGAAUUUAUGCUUUGAGUAUUGAAUGUUUUUUUGUGCCUAUUUUUAUAAUUGUUCUAUUUAAUUGUCAAGAGGCCUAUUAGUUUAUUAUUUGUUGCAAUCUACGGCUAGGUUAGAUAUCAAAUCCAUAUUGUUUGAUUUCUCUAAUUUGUGAAGCAACUAAGGGUUAAAUGAUUUGUUGCAUUAAAAAUUAAUAAAUCUUAGAAAGAAUAGUCGAUUAAAUUAAAUUAAAUGCAACCAUAUAUGCUUGUAUUGUUUAGCUUCAUCAAUCUCUCUAAUUCUUAAGGCUACUACUAGAUUAAAUUUUUAGUGCUUCUCUUGAGUUGUUUAGUAGUUAAGAUUAAUUAGAUUGCUUGUUUUCUAAUUAUCUAUAACUAAGGAGAGAUAGGAAAAUAGUUUCAAUAGUGAAUAUUAAAAGUAUGAAUUGAUAUAUAUACAUUGAUGAUCAGUUAUAAAAGACCUAAUGGUGGAUGUUGACUUAGUCCAAAGUUUAUUCUUUUGAUUGAUUUUUAUAUUUUAAUUUAAGUUGUUUUCUUACAAUUGUUUUUGUUAUACUCAAAUCCCCCCCAUCUUUGCUCACGUAGCACAAAACUAGGCUAGAUAUUCUUUGUGGGAACAAUCCUUACUCGCACUGCUGUAUGUAUUUUUAAGAGUCUAGGUUUUGUAUUUGGUUGCCUGUGACAGCACACCAUCAUCUCUAUGCCUCAUUAAUGCCCUAAAAAUCAUAGAAAAUUACAUGCUUGCACACCAAAGGCACAUUUAAAAGGGUUAUUUUUAGGUUGUGCAUCAGCAUUCAUUCAAAGACAACAUUUAGUUCAUUUAUGUGAGUGGAUUUUGAUUUUGACUUAACCAUGAUAUCAUAAAUAUAAACCUCUAUAUUAUUAUUGAUCAUAUUCUAGAAGAUCAAGUUCAUUUCUUUUUGUCAUGUUCCACUAGAAGUUCUUUAACCAAAAUUACAUUAUCAUCUAAUGAAGUUUAGUAUUCUAGACAUUUGAAAACAAUCUUGGAAAUAUCCUCUUUUAUAAUGAAGAUAUAGUUAUAGCUAGAGUAGCCAUCCAUGAAGUUGAGUAUUUUUUUUGCAAGAUGUUAUAUCGAUCGAUAUAUUAACCAUUGACAUUGGAUAUUCAUCUUUUAAAGUUACAAGAUUCAAAUUUCUAAAAUCUAUGCAUACCCUCAAUUUGAUAUUCUUUUGUCAUGGUGGCACUGUACUAGAUAUCUAAUCAUCAUAUCUUUUUGGCCUAAUAAAUCUAUCUUUUAGGUGCUAUUUUAUUUUCUUCUUUACAUGAUAAAUCACAUUUAGAUUCGUUCAUCAUACAGGUUGUUUAUAUGGCUUAAACUCAGGUUUGAUUGGUAAAUAAUGUUUGACCAAACUUAUAUCUAAACUAGGCAUUUCAUCAUAAUAUGAAGCAAAACAAUCUUUUUAAGUGUGUAUCAAUGACCCCGAUUCCUUAUGAAGUUUUUUGGUAUACUUGCACUUAUAAAGAUUGGUCUAGGCUUGUCUUUAGUUCCCAAGUUAAUUUCAAUUAACAUCUCCUAAACUUCAGCCUAUCCAUCAUCCAUCUUUGAUGGUGAUAGAGGAAGACUUAUCAUAUCGAGCAAGAUCAAUUGAUAGUUUUAAUUUUAUUUUAUUGAACAAAUUCUAUUUUACCACCCAACAAUUAUAUGGACUUCAUCAAAAGCCUUAAAACAUGUAACUAAAUUGUAAUGACUUGUUUAAUCAUAUAUUUCAAAUUUUUAACCAUUCCCUUCUAAUUAUUUAUUUGGCCUAGCAAAAUAUGUUAUGAUUCAUCUUAUAUGUACUAUCUUUUUACUAAGAAGAAAAUACGGUGACCUAUAUUAUCCAUGUUCAUUGACUAGAUUGGACCUGCAUCGUCAUUAUAUACCCAUGGAUCUACCAUCCCUAAAUUAACCAUGAAUGGUUUAUCAUUUACAUUAACUACUUUAGUUGAUCCAUCUAGUAACAAAAAAAUUAAAUCUUGAUAUAAGAAUGAUGGAACAUACAUGCUAGUGUGUAUCUAAUCUUGCUUUAGCAAGGUGUUGUAACUUGUCUUUGAUUUUACCAUAAAAAAAAUCUAUGAUAGAGGUUUUGGACCUAAUAGUUAGAUCCAUCUAUAACACCCUCAUAAUGUCUCUUAUAUCUUAUAUAGAAUAUGUAUAAACCACUUCUGAUAAAAUCAUGUCAUCCUUGUUAUAACUAACAUUAGCAUUCAUAGUUAAGAUUAUAAUGUUAAGUAAGACACCAUUAUCAACUAGGACUCUCUAUACUAGUACAUUAUUGAAAUUUGUUGUGAUGUAAAGAGGCUUAAAUAAUGACUUAUGUAAAACUUAUAAUAUGUUGCCUACUGUGACCAUAACACAGGUUUAGCCUUUAUAUUUAUAGUAGGAGAUGAUUGUAUACAAACGGGUAAGAGAUAAACUAUAAAGGUUGAAAUACACUUGAAGUAAUCUUAGCCUGAUCCUUAUUGCCUUCUACAGUAGUGGAUGAGCUGAGUUUAACUGUAUUGUUGGUGGGUUUGACUAGGUCUCUAAUACGCCCCUUCAAGCGCAACGGUACCGAAAGAACGUUGAGCUUGGAACGUAGAACACCAAACCGUGAGGAAGAGAGUGGCUUGGUGAAAAUGUCGGCGAGUUGAUCUUUGCUAGAGAUGAACUUAAUGGAGAGAAGUUUCUUGGCUACCAUAUCACGUACAAAGUGGAAGUCAAUUUCCACAUGUUUAGUUCGCGCAUGAAAUACUGGGUUUGCAGAUAGGUAGGUGGCGCCGAUGUUUUCACACCAUAGAACUGGAGGUUGAGACAUGUGAAUGCCAAUUUCAAAGCAUAAUGACAUGAGCCAAGAUAAUUAUGUAGCAGUGUUUGCUAGUGAUUUGUAUUCGGCUUCAGUGCUUGAGCGGGCAACCGUUUGCUGUUUGCGACAACUCCAUGAUAUUAAGUUGCGGCCAAGGAAAAUGCAAUAACCCCCAGUGGAUCGUCGAUCAUCACGACUUCCUGCCCAAUCGGCAUCAGAGAAUGCCUGAAGAUUAGUGGAUGUGGAAGCAUAAAAUUGAAGCCCAUGUUGGAUGGUUUGCUUGAGAUAUCAAAGUAGACGUUUUACAGACUGCCAAUGAAGUUCUGUGGGUUUGUGCAUAAACUAUCAGAGUUUAUUUACACAAAAGGAGAUAUAUGGGCGUGUGAUGCAGACAUAUUGAAGGGCGCCAACAGCACUUCUGUACAGAGUCGGAUCCAAAAGGAGAUCACCUUCAAAACUAAAGAGAUGAGUAGAGGAAGCCAUUGGAGAGCUGAUCAGCUUUGCAUCUGCCAUUUUUGUGUGUUUGAGAAUGUCUAGAAUAUAUCGCUGCUAUGAGAGUAUAAUUCCCUGGUUGCAUGGCAUAACUUCGAUACCAAGGAAAUAAUUCAGUGGCCUAAGUCUUUGACUGCGAAGUCAUUGUGUAAUUCUUGGAGCAAUGACUGAAUAACAACAUGACUGAAGAAUGUAAUUAUGAUGUCAUCCACAUAAAUUAAAACCAACAUGAGAUAAUCAGUGGAGUGAGAAAUAAAUAAGGAAGUAUCUAACAGUGAGCUGAUGAAACCAAGUUGAAUCAACUUGGAGCUCAACCGUGAAAACCAAGCCCGUAGGGCUUGUUUUAAGCCAUACAAAGCUUUGUGCAGCUUGCAAACAUGAGAUUGGUGUUGGGGAUGAAUAAAGCCAGGCAACCUCAGUUAACGUUCCAUGUAGGAAUGCAUUUUGUAUAUCAAUCUGAUGUAUAGGCCAGCCACUGCAAAGAGCAAAAGAGAGAACUAGACAUACCGUAGUGGGUUUUACCACAGGACUGUAAGUUUCACCAUAGUCUAGCCCAGGUUGUUGGUGAAAUCAUUUGGCUACAAGUCGUGCUUUGUAGCGAUCAAUGGAGCCAUCUGUCUUUCGCUUUAACCGGAAUACCCAUUUACAGCCAACGACAUUUGAUGCUUCUGAAGGGGAGACUAAGGACCACGUUUGAUUUUACAGUAAUGCAUCAAAUUCAACAUUCAUUGCUUUUCUCUAAUAUGGGUUUUUCAUGGCAGUGGAGUAACAAGUGGGUUCCAUAGCUGACUGAGUAGACUCAGUAAGGAGGGCUCGGGGCAAGGGAUAACGGACAGUGCCAUCAGUAUGAAUUUUUGGUUUGGUGAUGAGGUUUUUUGCACGUGUGGUCAUGGGGUGAGUUGAUGAGAGGAGGGGCGUCUGUGAGAUGGUGUCUGGGAUAGGUGGAUGGGAAGGAUUAGGUAAGGGAGGCCUCCGUAUAAGGAAUCUGAAGUGGAUAAUGAUUAAUUGUGGGAUGGUGUUGUGCCAAAAGUGUGUUGGAUGAUAUUUUCUAUUGAUGAUGGAGUUUCCAAAGAAGAUGCUGCCGUGGGCUGAUAGUCAUGAGGAAUGAGUAAUGGACUUGGAUUGUUGAAUACAUGCACAAAUAUGUUAGGGGACAAAGAGGAUGGAGAAGCAAACGUGCAUGGAAACGAGUUUUCAUUAAAUACUACAUCCCAUGAAAUAUAAACUCUAUUAGAUGGUAAGUGAAGACACUUGUACCCUUUAUGAAGAGGACUAUACCCUAAAAAAAGACACAUUAGAGACCGUGGUUGGAGUUUAUUUUUAUUAUAGGGACGUAAGUUUGGCCAACAUGCACAACUAAAAGUGCGUAAGAAACAAUAAUCGGGUUCACAAUGAAAAAGAGUGUGAAAGGGUGAUUUAUUUUGGAGCACAGGGGUGGGCAUGCGAUUAAUAAGGUAGCAUAUCGUAGAGAAUGCAUCAUCCCAAAAUUGGAGAGGAACUUUUGCGUGAGAAAGUAAGGCUAGGCCAGUUUCGACAAUGUGUCGAUGUUUGCGCUCAAUUUUGCCAUUCUGUUGAUGUAUGUGUGGGCAAGAGACACAAUGGGAGAUACCGAAAGAUUGAAGGAGUGUGUGAAAGGGACGGUAUUCACCACCCCAAUCAAAUUGGACAGUACGAAUUUUUUCUUUGAAAAAGCAUUAAACAUAAAUUUUAAAUUUAUAAAAAAUUUUAGUGACAUCACCCUUACAAGAAAUGGGAUACAACCAAGUGUAUCGACUAAAAUCAUCUAAAAAGGAAACAUAAUAUUUAAAGCCAGAUUGAGAGCAAAUAGGGGCAGGGCCCCAAACAUCCGUAUAAAUGAGCUCUAAAGGACAAGUGGAGCGAGAGAGAAACUUAGAGAAUGGUAAUUGUUUGGACUUGGAGCUGAGGCAUGCGGAGCAUGGAUCAGUGACUUUAGAAUUGGAAACUGGAAGUUGAAAGGAAGAGAGAAUUUGUCUGACUAACUUGAGGGAAGGGUGGUCAAGCCGUGAGUGCCACUGAGGAAGAGAGACACGUUCACCAAUUAAAAUGAAAGGGGAUGAUUUAUUAUUGAAGAAUGGAAAUUGAUAGAGACGGGUCGUGAAGCAGCAACUUCUUCGAAUGUCGAUCCUUCAAAAGAAAAUAAUCCGGGUGAAAUUCAAAGAAAGUGUUAGUAUCAAAUGUGAAUUUAUGAACAGAUAAUAAAUUCUUGGAAAUUUUAGGAACAUGGAGAACAUUAAGGAGAUCAAAUUGAAGAGUUAGAGAAAAGAGACGAGUGUGUCCAAUAUGAUGAAUGGACAACCCUUUACCAUUGCCAAUUCGUAUCUGAUCAGAGCCAUGAAAUUCCUCAGCUUUGAGGUUGAGGUUUUUCAUGUCAGAGGUGACAUGAUGAGUGGCAGGACCAUGAGAUACCGAUUGAGGUCAGGACCAUGAGAAGGGGCUGAAAGGUAGGCCUGUGGGAGUUGAGGGGAGUCUCUGGAGAAGGACUCAUUGUAGCGGUUGUAACAAUCAAGAGCGAUGUCGCCCACACGGUUACAGACUUGGCAAACAGGGCGAGAAGAAGAGCCACGACCAGGAAAGGAGUGAGUGUUGCGCCCCCUACCACGUGACUGUCGGUUGAAAUAUGGACGUGAAGGCCCCCGUCCAGUAGGUGGGGCACCAAGGAUAGAAUUGUGGCUGCUACGAUAGGGGCGGAAAGAAUUUCCUCCACAUGCAGCAUAGUGAGCCCCAAUGACAGGAAGGUCAAUGGCUGAGUGAUGGUGCUCAAGUCUGAGUUCAUGGAAGAGGAGAUGGUCGUAGAUCUCUUCCACAGAUAGGGGUUCAACACGAGUUGUAACUGACGUUACAAAAGGAUCAUAAUCGGGUCUUAGCCCAGCAAGUAGGAAAGCCACCAUUUCAAAAUCAUUAAGGGGCUGACCCACGGUAGCCAGGGAGUUAGUGAGGGAUUGGAACCAUUGAAAAUAGUCAGCGACAGAGGAGCUUCCUUUUUUUAAGAUGGUCAGUUGAUAGUGAACCUGCAUGGUGCGUGCCCGAGAUUGGGACGUGAACAAUGUCUCCAAUGUUGUCCAGGCAGAUAUGGAGGUGGUGCAACGUAUAACAUGGGUGAGCAUCUUUUCGGUGAGAGUUGAAUUGAUUGCACCAAGAAUGAUUUGAUCUUGCUUGGUCCAAUGUAAGAAAACAGGAUUUGGAGAAGUGGUGGUAACACCAUCAAUGGUGGAAGAAACAGUGGACGGUGGUGGGGGAGUACUGUCAUCUACGUACCCGAAGAGAUUUCUGCCUCUAAGAUGAGGGACAAUUUGAGGGAGCCAUAAAGGAUAGUUGUCCCGAGUGAGUUUAACAGGAUUGAAGUUGGUGAAGGUGAUCAGAGGAGAUGUUUGAGUGGAGGAGAGGGUUGUUACAACAGACAUGGUGAGGGAGGAAGAAAGAAUUUAUUUUUUUUUUGACGUAAGUCAGGUGUGCUCUGAUACCAUGUAAAACUUAUAAUAUGUUGGCUACUGUGACCAAAACACAAGUUUAGCCCUUAUAUUUAUAGUAGGAGAUGAUUGUAUACAAACGGGUAAGAGAUAAACUAUAAAGGUUGAGAUACACUUGAAGUAAUCUUAGCCUAAUCCUUAUUGCCUUCUGCAGUAGUGGAUGAGCUGAGUUUAACUGUAUUGUUUGUGGGUUUGACUAGGUCUCUAAUAACUUAUAACUAUUAUUGCCUCAAGAAAUUUAAGUCUUGGUUAUUGUUCAACCACUAGCUCUAACUAGUUGAAUUCAAUAAUCUGUAUCUUUUGUUUUGUGUUGUAUUCACAAUCACUAUCUAAAUUAGACAAUUAGGCAGGUUUGGCUUCAAGGAACAUGGUAGGAUGAACAUUAUAUUUAUGAAUGUAAAUCAUUUAUGAUCACUCACUUCUACUUCAAAAUGUGUUUCUAUUGCCUUAUCUUUUAGAGCAUUCUACUAGUCUAGCUAUUAUAUUAACCAUGAUACAUAAACCAUAGAUUAUAGAUUUAAUAUACUUCCUUCAAUCAUAUAUAAUCUUUUAAGUACUGUUUAACACAAAUGAUAUUAACUACGUGCUUAUAUAUAUAUCAUCAUUAUAAUUAGAAAAUAUUUACACAACACAGGUACAAGUUAAAUAAGCUAGUCCAUUUAAGUUCGUAUAUACACAACAUUAUAAUCUUCAAAAUAUACAGAAAGUAAUGUUAUUAUCAACAAUUUACAUAUCCAAAAGAUUUACUGGUAAUAGAAGUAGACUCUAAAACUACUAGGAGGUGCGGUAUUGAGAUGAACCUGCAUAAUGAUUUAAAAGAUAAGCAUGGUCAAUUAGAGCAUUUACAUUUGCAUUAAUAUAUAUAUAUAUACACACACACAUUAGUUACUCACAAAAAUUUCCACAUUUACUACCAUCUUCCAAGUACUAUUCACAAAUCAAUAAUCUAAAAACUAAACAUGUCCACAUCAUAGAACUUCAGUUCCAAAACCAGUACAGCUGGACCACCAGCACUAGUUCCAUACCAGCUUCAGUUCCAUACCAGGAUAACUGGUCCACCAGCUGCCCAUUCACAGGGCGCUAGUUCCAUAUCAGAAGAGCUAGUCCACUAGCUGUCCAUUCACAGGGCACCAGUUUCAUACCAGGAUAACUGGCUCACAAGUCUUUCAUUUUCAGAAUAAAUUAUCAUGGGAAAAUCUAUCAGCAUUCCACAUAAAAUUUCAUUGAUCGAGGGAAAUUUAAAUAUCUAAAGUUCAGAGAAAAAUAUUCAAUGUAUUAAACUUGUACUUGGUAUUUGCGUCCUGCUAGCUGAACCUGUCUGAUGAGUGGUUCUUGUAGCCUCGCCCACUCCUGCAGGUUCAUUUCAUUAUCAAUUAAAUUCUAUUUCAACAAAAUCAACUUGUCAUCAAUUUAAUUAUUUCAUCAACAAUAUCACCACAAAACCACUUUACUUAUCAAACCAGUAAAACAACUCAUUGUUAAUUUAAUUACUUCAUCAACACAUUACCACAUAAUUCAUUUAAUUUUCAAACAACAAUAUCAACUCAUCACUAACAUAAUUUCUUCAUCAUCAAUAUUACCACAUAACUCAUUUAAUUAUCAAUCAACAAUAUUAACACACCACUAAUAAAAUUUCUUCAUCAUCAACAUUACCACACAACUCAUUUAACUAUCAAACAACAAUAUCAACUCAUCACUAAUAUAAUUCUUUCAUCAUCAAUAUUACCACAUAACUCAUUUAACUAUCAAACAACAAUAUCAACUCAUCACUAAUAUAAUUUCUUCAUCAUCAAUAUUACCACAUAACUCAUUUAAUUAUCACUCAACAAUAUUAACUCAUUACUAAUAUAAUUCCUUCAUCAUCAAUAUUAAUUAUUGAUUCAACAUUUUCAUUCAUUUUUCUUUCUCUAGGCCGAAGCCUCUUCUCAAAAGAACCCAUAAUUAAUUUUUCUUCAAUUCCAUAUAUUGAAACAUUGCCCACUAUUAUUUCAUUUAUUUAAACAUUAAUUCAUCAUAAUUUCAUAGAUUAACUUAUUUAACCUCACAACUCAUACCAUAAUUAUACACUAAUACAAUUGAAUAAAAUCUUAACAUACUAAAUAUAUCAAUUUAAUUGAGAGGAAAGGAUUUGUUACCUUUUAAUUCAAAGAAAUAAGAGAUGGAAAGCUUGAAAUCACCCCACAAAUUUCUUUCCUCCUUCCCCCCUUAUUUUCCUCUCAAUGCCUCCCCUCUUUAUAAAAAAAAUCCCUUGUUCCCCUUUUUGAGAUUUUCUUGUUCAAAACCUUCUUAAUUUUGGAAUUAAUUGAGUCAAACUUUAAUCACUAGUUCUAUCUUUUUCCUUUUUUUUUAAUUAAUUUUGGAUGAACUUUGAUAAAUUUCACUCAAUUCUUCUCCCUCUCAAGCCCUAACAUGGCCGGCCAUCAUGGCUCAUUUUACACUCCCCACUUGUUUAUAUAUAUAUACAAGUUUCCCCCCUUCUUCAUUUAAGGACUUCCUUGUUUAGUUUUAAAACCAUUUGGCCCAAGAGUUUGACUUAUUCAAUUUCAUCCUUGUCCAACAUUAACCUCCUUAGAUAAUAAUUUCUACUCCAUUAAUUUCCAUUAUUUCUAUUAUUAUUAUUUAUUUAUUUAAUUAUUCAUCUCCCUUAUUUAAAAAAAAAAAAGGUAAAUCGAAGUAUAGGAAUUUUGCCCGAGAGUUACAUGUAUGGUUAUGUAUCAUCUCCCUAUACCAAGGUAUUUAGGCGUUGUAUUCCCUUAAACUAUAGCAAGAAUAAUUUUAUAAUGAGGUUCAUUAAAACACUAUAGGAAUAAUUUUACUAAGUUGUUGAAAACAAAUAAGAUUUAAUGAGUAUCAAUAGACUAAAAAGCAAUAAUGUUCUUUUAAAGACAUAUAAAUGUAUUUAGUUAAACCUUUAGUAUUGACCUAAUCAAGGCUUGGAAAGCCAUUAAAGCUAUAUGUUUUAGGAGUACAAGGACCAAUUUAUAGCAUUCUGGAAUAAGAAAAUGACUUUGGGAAUGAAUAGAUUGUGUAUUACCUUAAACGCGUGCUUAUAGAGGUUGAAGAAAGAUAUGCAUUGAUAGAGAAAUUAUGUUUGUUUUUGUUUUUCACUUUAGUUAAGAUACGUUAGUAUAUGUGAUCAAUUAACUUUGAUGUAAUAUGUAAAAUAAGUUUAAUUAAAUAUAUGUUAUUGAAAUCCUUUUUAAAAGGUUGUAAUGGAAAAUUUUGUAUGCCAUAUAAAAAACUUUAGGUGAUUUCUUAGCUGAUCACCCAUACAUUGCACACUGACCAUGAAUUGAAACAAGAUAUCAAUAUUAUCAUGGCAGAGCCUAUUCUAUAGUAAGUAUGGUUUGAUAGAUAAAAAAAAAAAACUAAGAACAAAGCUAGUGCAACGAUGGUCAUAUAUCCCCUGUAGGUCAUAAAGCGACCUUGUCCUUUUAUCUUGAUUUUCCUUGCACAAAUAAUCAAGUUAAAUAUAAGGUCUUAAUAAUAGGCCUAAAAACAUUAUUGGAGUUAAGAGUACAAUCAAUUAUAAUAAUUGGGAAUUCAUUAUUUAUUAUCAAUUAGUUAUCUGGAGAAUAUAAGCGUGAAUAUCUCAUCCUAAUUCUAUACCAUACUAUGGCCACAAACAUUAGAAGGUUUUUUUUAUCUUAAUUUCUUUAAUAAUCAUGACAUUAUCCCUAUGAAGAUUAUCAAUCGAUCAAUCAAAGUUGUUGUCCAAAUAGAUUGUCAUGAUGAAUAAAGCAAUCUAGAUUCCAUGAAAAAAAAAUAUUUAAAGCAAUAACAAUGAGAUUGUUGUUUAUACUUUCUGCCAAUUACAAGUAGAAGGUCUUAACAAUUCUAAUGCUUUUGAUUCUUAGAAGCAUUGGAGAGAGAGAAAUAAAACAUUUGACAAUACCCCUCGUAAAAAGUUUCAAGGUCUUUCAAAAUAAAGAUGGUCAAUUAUUUACUCCUAACAAAUAUAUAUUAUACAUAAUAUAUAAGACUAAUAUUUUACUCAAAUGCUUAGGACUAUUGAAAAUCUUGUUGGUCAUGUUUGAGGUUCAUGAGAGGAUAUAUAGAGCCUACCAAUCUAGAAUUAAGAUAAGAUAGUUAAUCAUGAACCAUGGCUUUCAUUGGCAUGGUAUAACUAAAGAUAUCAUUAGUUUUAUAAAAAGGUGUUAAUAAUAUCAUCAAUUAGGCCCAAUCCAGUAUGUACCAUCGAAUAAGCUUAAUGCAAUGGUCAAAACAUGGCUAUUUAGAACAUGUGUAACGGAAAAUAUUGGAAAAAUACAACCACCUUCAUCAAGGGGACAUAAUUAUAUUCUUGCAAUUAUGGAUUAUUUCACUAAAUGGGUUGAAGCUAUUCUUUAUCGAUCGAUCAAUUAAGAAACAAUGAUCAAAUUCAUUUGGGAAAUAAUUAUUCACAAGUUUAAACUCCUAUAAACUAUUAUUACUUACCAAGGAUAAAUAUUUACUAGGAAAGAUGAUAAGAAAAUCACACAUAAGUAUAGAUUCAAGAGUCCAUUCUACUCAAGAUUAUAUCUAAGCCAAUAAGUAAGCAAAAUCGACCAACAAAACUCUUACUCACAAUACUCCAAAAUUGUUUAGAAAUAAUCCUGAAGCUUGUCAUGAUGCCUUAUCAAUAGUAUUAUGGGCAUAUAGGACUUCAUAGAAGACUCUUUUAGGAACCUCAUAAUUUACCCUAGCAUAUGGCCAUCAUUCCAUAUUACCUAUAAAGCUCAAAUUACAAUCACUUAGAAAGGGUACAUAAUGUAACAUAAACAAUUCAAAAAAUAAACUAGCUAUGGUAGUUGAGUUAGAGGAACUGGAUAAGGUAAAACGCCAUGAAUUGGAUCACUUAUUAGCAUAUAAAAGGAGAGUCAAAAGACAUAUAAUAAACAUGUUUGAUCAAAGAAUUUCUCAAUAGUGAUUCCGUAUGGAAGGCCAUACUUCUAAUUAACCAUAAAAAUCCAAAAUAUAAAAAAUAAUCCCCUAACUAGAAGCAUUCAUAUGUUAAUGCUAAAUUUCUAAAAAAGAUGUGCAUAUCAUCUAGCAAAUCAUGAUGGAAGGCCAUAAAUAUCCAAAAAUACAAAAAAUAAUCCCCUAACUAGAACCAUUCAUAUGUUAAUGUUAAAGUUCUAAAAAAGAUGUGCAUAUCAUCUAGAAAUCAUGAUGGAAAGAUGUAUUAUCGAUUGAUCAAUGGUCUAUAUUUGAAGAAGUAUUAUCCCCUAACAUAGACAAUUCAUUGAGAAGGAUUUUAUUUGUCAUUACAGCUUGCCAAAAAAAUUGAUAACUGAUAACGUUUAAAUUUUAAUAGGAACAUUCUAAUUCUUCUCCUUAUAGACCCAAGAUGAAUGGUGUUGUCAAGACAGCUAAUAAGAAUCUUAAUAAGAUCAUCCAGAAAAAUGGUAGUCACCUACAAAGAUUGGCAUGAGAUGCUUUCAUAAGUAUUCCAUUCAUACCGCACUACAGUUAGAACUUCUACGGGUACAACCCCUUAUUCUUGGUAUAUAGAAUGGAGGCGAUGAUACCUUUACAAGUAGAGAUUCCAUUAGUAAAGAUUCUAAAGGAUACAUAACUGGAAUAAUCAAAAUGGACGAAGUUAAAGUUUGAGUAACUCAUUAUAAUCAAUGAGAAAAGAUUGGCAGCAAUUUGUCACCACCAACUAUACUAGAGCAAAAUAGCUAAGGCAUAAAACAAGAGUGUCAGACAAAGGGUAUUAAAAAAAAAACACCUUAUAUUGAAGAAGAUCUUGUCAAUCCUAAUAGAAGAUCAGAGCAAAUAGGUGUCAAACUAUAAAGUACCAUAUGUGGUGAAGAAAGCCUUUCUUGGAGGAGCCUUGAUUUUGAUCAAAAUUGACAUGAAUGAUUUACCUAAGUCUAUAAAUCAAUAAAUCAAUAAGGAUCAAAAGUUUGGCCAUAAAUUCUUUUAAGUAUUUUCCUCUUAAUAAACUCUAAAAAGUUCUGAAUAGCCUUUUACAUGAUCUCAUAAGCUAAAAAACAUGUUUUUGUAAAAGAUAAAACAAAAUUCAAUCAAAAGUUUUUGGGAAAUCAAAGUUUUUAGUACAAAUUCAGAGGCCAAAUUGGUGUUUGUUUUUAACAAAUGAGUUUUGGGAAUUAAGUGAUCUCCUAUUUGAGGUGAACAAACACUUAGAAACCUGAAAAAUAAACAAAAACUCAUUCAUAGUAACUUUGAAGCUAAGUUUUAGUUGGCUGAAUAAUGAUGCAUAAUUUAAUUUGAUGGAAACUAUUUUGUAUGUCCAACUAAUCAAAAUGGAUGAGAGAAAAGCUUACUAAUCAUAAACGCAUGUGUUUGAGAUGAUGACAAGUCAUCUUUGAUAAUCCUUUCACAAUACUUGAAAAAUAUCCUUUGCAAGUCCUUGUUGGGCCUAGUAAAAAAAAAUUCUUGCAAAAGAAUCCUGACUUGGAUCACACUACAUACUAGAAGUAAGUACAAAACUUAUCAAAGUAAUUUGGCCUUGGAGUUAUACAAAAUGAUCCUCAAUUAUCAAUGGAAAGAUCAAAAGUGCCCAAAUAGAAAUUUGAAGGCACAAAGAGAUUCAAAUAUUCAAAUAGGCUGGGCAUGCCAUGCACAGAAAAAUGAUGAGGAUUGUGAUGAUGCUCCAAAUCAAAAGAAGAAAACAAAUCCAAAUAAUCCAAGAUCAUUUUACAAGAUAAAUCCUAAGGUCUGGGAGGCCAUCAACAAAAUAAAGAAAAAAAAUAAAGGCAUGUGAAUGAGCGAUAAUGAUCCUUAGUCCUAAGAGUCUUUAAACACCUUUUGAUCCUAUAAAUAUCUUUUUAUUUCAUAACCAAAAGGCAAAGCCUACAUUACAUGACUACUAAAGUCCUUUCUAAUCAAAAGCAAGCAACUUGGGUUGGUAGACAAUGCUCUCCCAUACUUUAAUAUUCAUACAAGUAAAAUGAAUACUUCAAAGAUUUUUUUUCUCUAAAACUCUCAAGUUGAUACAUUCAACCUUUAUGAAACCAUGUCCAUGGGAAUUGUUUGAGUUCUUUUCGAAACAAAUUUGCUUUAAACUUCAUCGAAAUGGUUUUUGCAUUUGGAAACAGCUUUAAAAUUCCAAAGGUUUUCUAUGAUAUCGAUCUUUUGUAAGAACCAAACAUCUUUUGCAUAACAUCAUCAUUGAAAAAACCUAAGCAAAAAAACAAGAUAAAGUACUUGGGUGCAUGAUCAAGCUAGUGGCAAUUCAAGAAACCCAACAGGACUUGCUACACAACUCUUUUUCUAAUAAAAUAAAAAAUAUAAAGCAAGUUGUUUAAAUCUUCCAAUGUCUUUUAAGAACUCAAGAUAUAGCUAAGAAAGCUAUUGUAGAGCAAGUAUAGUGAAUACUGAGUGAAGGUUAUGACACCCUAGCAAUGGUACACAUAUGAUUAUGGUGAUAAGUAGGAGAGCCUUGAAAGUUAACAAUUGAUGAGACAAAGGUGCCCAGAUAAUGGGAUAAACAAAGAUCAUUGAAGCUCAUAAAAUAAGCAUCCCUUUCCUAGAGAUCAAAUCUACUAGUUGUAGUUUGAGUAGACCAAAACAGAGAAGUCGUGAAAACAUGUCGCAGAGAUUAAAGUUUUGAGAGACAGAGUCCAUGAAGAAAGGGGACCUUUGUUUCUCAAGUAAAAAUUCAUGUAUAUUAACCCUAAAGCAUCACAUUUUGAUCUUUGUAGGAAGUCCAACAAAAUAAUACUUGAUGGAUUCAAAAAACAAUUCCAGCAAAGAAAAUCCAUCAAAGGUUCAAUUUAUAUUGAUAUAAGAGCAAAGGAUGUCAAAUUUUCAAAAUAUUAGAUCAUGAGAUUAUGUGAAUGCAACUUUGAAGCAUACCUUUUAAGUGCGCUUUUAAGCCACUUGCUUGUAGAUUACAUCUUAUAUUUUAUCACUUUUCAAGUGUGUUUUUCAGCCACUCAUUUUUAAACAAUAUCACCUUUUCAGUGCGCUUUUAAACCAGUUAUUUUUAGAUAACAUCUUUAAAACUAUCACCUUUUAAGUGUGCUUUUAAGCCCUCGCCUUCCAAAUAGCACGCCUUUGAGCCCUAUCUUUUUUACAUUGUAUUUUUUGGCACUAUUUUCUUCUAAGUGGGCCUUUGUGCCCUCGCCUUCAAGAUAGCGUGCCUUUGAGCCCUGUCUUUUUUACAUAGUGCUUUUCUCACUAUUUUCUUCUAAAUGUGCCUUUAAGCCCUUGUAUUUCAAAUAGUGUAUUUUUAGCCCAUAUCUAAUUUGAAUAGUGCUUUUGACACUAUCAGUUUAUGAGUGCGCCUUUAUGCCCUUGAUUUUCAGAUAGUGCGUUUUUUAGCCCCUCUCUCCUUUGAAUAGUACUUUUGACACUAUUAGUUUUUGAGUACGUCUUUGACCCCUUACAUUUUGGAUAGUGUACUUUUUAGCCCCUAUCUUUUUUUAAUAGUGCUUUUGGCACUAUCACCUUUUGUAUGCGCUUUUUAAACCCUUAUUUCUAAAAUUUUUUAUUAAAUCUAUCAUUCUUGGAUAUACCUUUGAAUAUCAUAUCACUUUGAGAAGGAUUAACCACUUUUUUGUUUUGGUAAAUCGACAUAUCCCCAUUGAAGUUUUUUAUCUUAACAUCUUUUUAUCUUUUUCUUCCUUACAAGGUUACUAUCUAAAGUAUCUUACGAGACAUUCUAUCGUAAACAUUGUAAAAACGGGUCAAUUGCCAUAACUCAACUUUGGGUUCCCUUUUCUUUUAAAUAAAAAUAAAAGAGAAAGAGAAAGAGAAAGGUUGAAAAUUUUUUUAAAAAAAAAACAAGAAGACAAGCAACUUGGUUGGCAAGAACAAUUAAAGAAUGAUCUACAAGCAUGAAUGAGAGAUGGAAGGACCAAUUUGGAUUUUUGAAUUUUUUUAUAAACUCAAUUGCACCAUUGAAGGACCUAAAUGUGAAAGGCAAUGCAAAUUUAAGGUUAACUUAAAAAUUUGAUGAAUUUGCUUAAAAAUUAAGUUUGGGGACUUAAUUAGAUUUUUAAUAGGCUAAUUUGAUUUAAUCAUAGGUCUAAUUAAAUGUUUAAUUAAGUUUGUAAAUUAACUUAGGCCAAAAUUAAAAUAGUUCAUUGGUGAAAAUUAAGUUUAGAAGCUUAGUUUAGGCUUAAUUGAUAUGAUUGGAACUUUGGAUAAUAAGAUUUAAUUUUUACAAGUUUAAUUGGAUAAAAUCAUGGGUGAAAUUGAAAGAAAAUUAAAGUUCAAAUGUCAAUUAAGGGCCAAAUUGAAGAAUCUCAAAAACAAGAACCACAUUGCAAAAAGGCAUGUAAGUCCGGGGACUAAAAUCAAUCUUAGGGGUCAAUUUGAAAGAAAUUGAAAGUUUGAUUGUUUAUAGGGGUAAUAUUGAACAAAUUAAAAACCAUAGACCAAUUGAAAAAGGAGUUCAAAUUAGAGGAGUCAAAUCAAGGUUUUCAAGGGAGUAAAAUCAAAGUUUUCAAGGGUGUGCUUGCAAAAAUUAAGAAGUUUCAAGUUCAAUUGAGGAUGUAUAUGCCAAAAUUAAAAAAACAGGGACCAAAUUAAAGUUUGCAAAAUCCCAACUAGAAAACCCUAAUUUCUAGGCUUUAAUGAAGAGAAUGAGUGACAUGUCGUCUAGUCUUUGUUUGUCAUUUUUUUCAGCUGAGAAGGUUAAAUAGGUUACCACUUUUAGGCGAAUGAACGUGACAUUUCCAGCCACCUCAAAGGCUCAAACCACCACUAAUGGACUGAGAAACACCUCCUUUACAAGGAUAAGCUAUCCUUAUCACAUGUUUAUACAUCUUUUGGCUCAAUGAACUCAACAACAUCUUGUCCUUGAUUAGCUUCCCUUGUAUUUGAUUGUUUCAAUCUGGUUGAGAACUCACUUUCCAAUAAUUUAAUAUGGAGUUUUGGACCUCCAAAUCAAAUGAGAUUUUAUUCUCAUUGUAGAUAUACAUUUCAUCUACAAGGAUCAGCUACUUGUAUCUUAAAUUUACAUCUAGUUUGUCACGAUGAUUUCUUUAAAAUAACUCACUCGGUUAGCCAUGAUUGAAGAAGAAAACCAUCAUGAUUUUUUUAAACCUCAUGGCUACUUUCUCUUGACAAGUUUGAGCUUACAGAAAGACAAAAAGAACCAGAAUGUAGCUUUCUAGGGGAGGUUAGAGGAGAAAAUGAGUAAGAAUCUUAUCUAACAAACUCUUAGCAAAACCACCAUGGUUUUGCCAUUUCUUGUUUUAUUUAGCUUAUAAAAGGUUGUUCUUGAGCACACCAAAAAGGAUUUGAGAAAAAUUAUAGAGAAAAUCAUAGAGGAAUAAAGAAAAAAGAUACAUAGAAAUAAUAGAAUACGUAGAAUAGAAAGGAAAGAAAGGUGAUAAAGAUUGUGGUUUAAAAAGGAAGGAGGGGAAUCUAGAUCAAUCUGAGAUUAAAAAGAAGCUAAAAAUCAAGAAAAAAAGAAGCAAAGAAUUCAUAGAAAGAAUCAACUUUAUCAUUGCUGGGCAAACCUUCAAACUUUAAUGAAGGGGUGAAGCUCAAUGAGCACACACACCCUCUUUUUUUAUUUUUGUCUUUGAAUUACUAUUUAUAAUAUUUAUUAUACAUUCUUUGAAGUCAUUUAUUACUUUGAAGGCCAUGAUUAUUGUUUUGAAAUGUUUCAACAUGCUUUGAAUAUAGCUUGUAUAUGCUCGGGUUUUUUUAUUGCCUUGUUUUGAUGUGUUAGAAUAUGAAUAUGGAAUGAUAAAUGUUAUUAUAGAAUUUUGUUAUUGCAUGCUUUGAUGUUAGGCUAAUCUUGCUUGAAGUUAUGACAAUAUAUUUUACGUUUUGAUAUUGUUGUGGUUUAGUUUCUUUUAGGUUAGUAUAUUGGUUUUGCUGAACUUAUAGAUAUGUUUUUUAAGAUUUAAGACAAUGUUUAUGACUAAUGGAAUAGUGUUUAUGCAUAGAGAGUAGCUUUUUCUGCUUGUUGUCAUUAUGGUUCUUGCUUGUUGUUUUUGCCUUUAAUCCUUUGUUUCUUGUUGUUUUGAUGAUUCCAGUAAUUCGUGGCAAGCAUGAUUAAGCUUAGGUUGCUAGGUUUUGGUUGCUUUUCUGAGUUUUAUUGCAUUUUUCUAGGUUUAGACCUUUUGUUAGGUUUAUGGGUUUUCUGACUUUUCUGGAUUGACAUUCAUCCAUUGAACUUUGCCUUAGGUCAUUGCUUUCUGAGUCAUUUUGGUCGAUUGAUGGUUCUUAUGUGUACGUGUAUGUCUGUUAAUCUUUAAUCUAAGUUUUUUAUGGCUUAAGAACAUUGAUUUAAGGGUUUUGAUCUUUAUUUCUUUUGUUUUAUUUUUUACAUAAAAUCAAAUAAUCAUGAUAUUUGCUUGAUUAUCAUGAUGAUUUAGCCUCAUAUUCUUGUUUGAAUAGUGUGUUAACAUGUCUCGAUGCCUUCAUUUUGAUUUCAUCUAGUAUAUUUUUGGAUCUUUGUUUCUGGGUUUCUUCGCAAGUUCUUAGCGUUCUUGAGCAAAUUCAAACAUUUUUCCCCUUUGAUCUUCAUUUUCUUCUUUAUUGGUUUUAGGUUGUGUUUAUGAGUUUGGGUCUUUGGGUUAAGAAGCCUAGUCUACACGGUAAGGCUGAGCUCAUUUUUCAAUAAAGCAGUGUUUGACAUGAUCAAUUUAUAUUAAAGAAAAAAUGCAAUAUUUUUUCCUUAAGGCGUGUUUAUCAAACACGGCCUCAAGAUAUUUUUUAAGCCUAUGACUUUUAGUUAAUGGCAUGUUUGGCAAACAUGCCCUACUGAUUUUCUAGUAAUGUUUAUAUUCGUAUUUUUUGUGCUUUUUCCAAACAAACCCUCAAAUCCUUUCCAAAAAUUCUAAAAACACUCAGGGACCAUUUUAAAAUUAUUUGUUGGCCCCUCGCAUAUAUGUCCAAACAUUUCACUUAAUAUCGGG
RNAcentral lists this long non-coding RNA (37335 nucleotides) under Populus trichocarpa (black cottonwood). RNAcentral's name for it is "long non-coding RNA (PTRI_LNC004479)". Lineage: Eukaryota; Viridiplantae; Streptophyta; Magnoliopsida; Malpighiales; Salicaceae. The record is from RNAcentral.